UUCUUUCUUUCUUUCUUUCUUUCUUUCUUUCUUUCUUUCUUUCUUUCUUUCUUUCUUACUUUAAUGAUUACCCAAUGACUUCCAAGUGAACUCCUAACUUCUUCUCAGUCCCAUUGCCACACAAGCAUGACACAGCGACACCGUGUUGUCAUCCGCAAACUUCAUGCUUGAGAACUGGGCCUGCUUAAAAGCUCACGUUUGAAGUAAGUUUAUGGUUCCUGUUGGGUCUCCAGCCAAGAGUUGGGCAUGCCUAAAUCCUGUUUCCUCUCCAGCUGUUAUCUACCAUGACGCCAUGACGGUCUCUCUCCUCCACGUGCUGCCACAUCUUCAGCUUGCCUACGGUCUCUGAAAGGACCAUGUCCUCCCUGUUGUAUACGUAGCUCCCUGCCUAGCUUCAUAUUCCCAUCCAGAGAAAUUUACGUCUUUCAUCCGAGUUUGGACAGUGAUUUUUAUUUUAGGAAGCCACAUAGGGCUGUUUAUCUUUUCUUACUGAUUGCAAUUCACCCUCUUAAUCCUGUUUCCAUGAUGGGCGCAGACUGACAGAAGCACACAGGGAAAGAACCGCAGACAUUUUACGAUAGAUAUAAACAAGGUAUGCAAUAUGGCGGCACAAAAUGAUAGCCAAAUGUACUAACAUGAGCUUUUAACGGUUUUAUAUUUUUUAAAUUAAAAAUUUAAAUUAUUUUGAGAAUUUCGUACAUGGCUACUAUCUCAUACCACCUCUAUCAUUCCCUUAACUCCUCUGUGUGUUCCCCCAACUUCCUCUCAAAUUCAUGACCUCUUCUUUAAUUAUUGUCACACACACACACACACACACCUUAUUCAUGCAUAAAUACAAUCUGUGAGCCCAUUUAGUAUUGCUCAUAUGUAUAUAUGUUUAGGGGUUACUACUUAGGAUUGGAUAACCUGUCAGUGGCUUCCUCCCUGGAAAAGACUGGUCCUCCUCUCUCAGCAGUGAUUGUCUGCAACUCUCCAUCUAGGCGUGACCAGAUGGAGUGACUUCCCCUGUCCACCUUGCAUGUCACUCCAGCCACUUUCAAAGCAUCGCUUCUAGCCUGCCCUUAGCUGAUUUACAUACACCAGCGCUUAUUGCAGAAAAUGCACUGGUGUGCACCAUCCCAUUUCUGAUGCAAAGUAGCAUCCUGAGAUCUGCUGAUUGCCGUUUGUCAUAGUGUUUAGUGGUGGACAGGAGAAGGCUGUAUGCGUCUAAAGGCAAACAACACGAGCUUGCUGGGGUCUGGUUUUCAUGGUCUGGCUUUGGACAUUGAGAGAAUCAUGCUUAGGGACGACAGAUGGUUCCAAAACCUGUAUAUUCCACAGAUAUAAAGAUUACUCUAUUAAAAAUAACUAUUGAGAAAACCUUUUUUUUUCUCAGUUGGUCAAUAGGAGGAUUUGGAUAUAUAGUUCUUAAGAAUUCGAUCUGGGUUGGCACUAAUUAAAAUACAACUUUGAGUAAGUUGAUAAAUAGCUCUUGGUUAUAAGACAGAGGAACAAAGUUAACUUCAAAUAUUAUUGUGAACAAAGAUGGAUUAACUCAGAGUUAUACACCUAAAAUUGAUGUUCUAUUUUCAGAAUUUGGUCCAAGGUCAAGUGUGAAAUGUAGCCCCUGUCACUUGGAUCUUGUGCAAUGUCGCCAUGCAUGCCUGCAUCCAAAUAUUUAAUUCCUCACUUAUCCACCCAUUUAUCCAUUCCCUUGUUAUCUAUCCACUUACCCAAUAACCCCAUCAUCAACCCCACAAUUCCUUAUCCGAUAAAUCUUAUGUAAGUUCUAUCCUGUACAGAUUUUCUCCUUAUUGAGGAUCUAAGAGCAGAUAAGGCUAUCUUUCUUCUCAAAGUGCUCAAAGCCUGAUUUAUUUUGUUCUUUAUUUUAACAAUAGAUUUAUUUACUUAUUUCUAUUUUAUAUGCAUUGGUGUUUUGUCUCCAUUGUGUGUCUAUGUACUGCAUGCAUGCCUGUUGCCUGCAGAGACUAGAAGAGGGUGUCAGAUCUCUUAGAACAGAAGCUAUGGAGGAAUGAUUGUGAGCUGCCAUGGGGAUGCUGGGAAUUGAACCUGAGUCCUCUGGGAAAAGCCUAACUCUUCUCUCUGACUCCCUUUUGUUCUUGUUCUUGGUUUUUGCUUUUUUGAAACGGUUUCACUGCAUUGCCCAGGCUGGUCCUCAUUUUGUGAUCAAUAGCCUUGCCUCAGCCUUCUGAGAACUAGAAUUAUCAGCAUAGACUAGCAUUCCAGUGUCUCUGCAAAUAUGUCUUGGAUCCUUAUGAUUAGGACCUUGAGGCAGUUAAAGAGAGAUGACAGUCGAAGGGAAGAGUGUGUGUGCCCCACACUGGGAAAGCAUGGAGACCAGAGAGGACAGUGGGGCUUGUGAGAAGGUCGGUAAGAUUUUGUAGAGUGGAGAAUGCUGGCCAAGGUUGAGAGAACGACGUUUCUGGUAAAGGUGUAGACAACCUGCAUGCCGAUGAGAGGUGCUGAGAAAGCCUUUGUGAUUUCUGAGCAGAGCAAGUGAUGUGAAGUUGGACUAUCCUUAAAAGGCCAAUCCAGGUCAUUUGGGGAGGUAGAGUGAGAGACUGAGGAGACAAGAGACACAGAUCAUUACAAGCUAGUUAUUCAGAUUUGGGUCGCUUCCAACACUCAGGCUGUUGCCAUAGAGAAGCUAGGGGGCUUUCCAGUUAAAACCACUCAGUCUUGUUCACAUUUCAGGAGCAGAUAAGAGAAGUUACUUUUAUAUUGCUUUCAUUUUUUAGUUCACAUUCAACGUUGACUUUCUCUUAAUUGUUGAGAAGAUUAAUUUGUAUAUUUAGAUUGUUCUUAACCUGGUGCUUUAGUAUAGUGGUCUGAAAAGACUUGGGCGGUAGAGUGAGGAGGGAAAGAUACAGGUGUGUCUGAAUUUAAGGGGAAGGGGAAGGGUAGGCCUCCUUUCUUACUAAAAUAACGGGAACCUAAAACGAAUCUGCUGUUCUUGUGCCUAGUAGUUGAAGUAUCAUUUAUGUAAUUCAUAUGCAAAUACGUAUUUACCUCUGUGAGACAAUCUGUUCUAAGGCACAGGGCUUAGGGUACAGAAUGUUAAAACAGAUUUCUGUAAUUCUCAAGGUCACCAACUUAAAAUUAAACACCAUAAUAAUGUAGGAGAUGAAAGGUCCUUUUCGUGGAGUGCCUAGUGUAUAGAGUUGUUAGGUAGGGGCUAACUGCCUAUCUUUGUGCUCUGCAAAGCAAACCUCAAGAUGGCUGUUAUACGCAGUUAUAAGCACAGCGUGUUGUAUGAGUGAAUUCAUUAUGGUUUUGUGGGUAGGGUGCACUGGAGAAGUAGAGUGCUUGCUUUAGCUUCAGGAGUGUAUUAGAUCCAUGAAACCAUCAUUCCUACACAGCUUCAUUGAAACUUACCCAUUCGAGCCUCUCUGUAGCAAUACUGACACUAGAUUGUGUGUGUGUGUGUGUGUGUGUGUGUGUAAAAUAUAUAUUUCUUCAUAUACUAAGCUCUGUCUAUGUUACUUGCUAACCGCUCCUCCCUGACUCCCUGAUAUAUUAAACCUUUUGCUUUAUGCAAGAUUCUGAUAUAUUUUGAGUGUUUUAUAAGCUCGGUAGAUCAACUGAAAAUAUGUCGGAGUCAGAAAUAGUUUCUCUACAUUUCUUUUCUACAAAAUUUUGUAUUACUUUAUAUACACACACAUGACCUUAAGGAACACGAAUUUUAGUUAUAACAAAACAGACAUCCGGAUGGCAUCCUAGCACACACGCACACACCUUACACACUCAGUGUACAAAGGCUAAGACAUACGUGGAGAAGAAGACCAAGUUGCCCCAGAGAUAACCUGUUAAUUCAUGUGAAUGCCCCGGAGAAAACCCAGGAAGCUUGCACCAGGCUGAGGGGAUUUCGCUUCUUGGAAACAGGGAGAAAAGAAUAAAAUUUGGCACUUUCUCAGCGUGGCAGCUGUGCCUGUCUCCACAAGAAAAUGCCAUUAAGCAAUUUGCGAAUUCUUGUUAUAUAAUUACUCUUCACUUAAGGUGACUAUUGUGUUCUGUCCCUCAUUAUGAGUAUCUUGUGGUUUGAUUUUUGGCAUAUUUAAUCCUGCUCAAAACCAAAUUAAACUCCUAAAGCAUAUGCUACUGUAAAGCUUGAAUCACAGGCUUUUGUGGUAUUUUGCAGAAAGGUUGUCUGGGAAAAGAAAAACUCAAAGCAAAGAGCUCAAUGUACUAUACAUGCCUCUCACGAGUCAGAGGCUGGAGUGAUUUUUGGACCAUCACUAUGUAAGCACAGUGUGGGAGUGAGUGUCACAUUCAAUGAUGACAUCACCCAUGGCCUCCCUCUUAUCAGAUUUGGCUAGAUGGAGGGCCUCCUGCUUGCCUAGAAAACCAGACAAUAAUAGCUUUGGUUAAUCCAAAAGGUACAUCAGAAGUGGGAAUUAUUGAGGAAUAGGCUAUCUGGUGGUUCUUUCUAAUUUGUGGUCUAGAUGAGACUGUACGAAGGCCUUGGUUAUGUUACAGUGUACUAAUUUCAAAGGUUUGACCAGAAUCUGUAAGAAAAGGUAUAUUUUUCCAAACAGGAAUACUUCAACCUAAAGUUUCAAUAAGUUUCCCUUUACACUGUUAUUUUUACCCCUUUUGAUCUUCAUGAAGUCUUAUCUAAGAGUCUUAUUAAGCUAUCUAAUUCUUUCAACAGAGUAGAGUGUUUAUUUCUAUCUUUGUAAUUAUAGCGUCAUGAUGCCUUGGGUUAUACUAGUUCCUAGUCAUGCUCUUCUCUCAUCGAGAAACCAAGCACACACAAGUUUAUAUGCUGCUGCGUGGUCAGGAUCACGCCAGGAUUAUUUAAUUUCAUUACAUUUUAUAGGCACCGUUAGCCGACCGUCAUGAUUUCCUGUUAGUAUUUGUGUAUUUGGGUUUAAUCUUUGGGCAAGGGUGCUUUUUGCUUGGAUUAUUCAGAUAGUUUAUUUCUGGAACAUGAUAUUAACAAUAAUAUUUACACACACUCAAACCACUGUUUUACUUACCAUGGUUAUCGUCUAAUACCUAUUCCAAAGACUGAUGAAAUGUUUUAACAUGUAUAAAACACUUGGCAUUGUGUGGGGAUUUCCUAAGAGGCUGCUUUUGUCAUUCUGUCCUAAAGGGCAUAGGGAUGGCAAAGGGAGGAGGAGACAACUGGAGCGUAUCAUACCUUUGAGUUUAGUCUGUUUUCUCCACAAACGACACAUCUACCCCAUGUUAAGGAAAGCCAAGUCCACUCUACCCACAAAUACACACUCUGAGAUGUCAUCUUGUACAGCCUCUGUUGGUUUUGAACUCACAGUGUAGCCAACGAUAAUCCUCUUGAUCAUCUCUCAUCUCCAACUCCAAGCACUGGGGCCACAGGCUGCCCUCUUCCUCCUGUGGCUUCCUUAACCUACAUGCUAGGUAAGCUCUCUACUAACUAAGCCAUGUCUUCAUCCAAAGUUCUCUCUGGUAGGAAGAAUUUAUCUCUCCGGGAAGUUUGUUAGACAAACACAGCAUAUAUUUGCACCACAGACAGACUUUUUGGUCAUGACCUUUUGGCUGAAUUAAAAUGUAUUUAGCAUUCAAGUGAGUAAAAUUAAAUCAAAGUAGUCUCCGGGUUCGGUGUGUUUCUCACUGAUUCUGAAUGAUAACGUUUUUUCCUGUGCUCAUCAAAGGUUAAAAAUUUGGACUUAGUUAAAAUGUUAGUCUGCAGAAAGAAUUCUAGAACAUGUGCUUUCUCUUGGAGUAUCAGAUGGUGUUUUGUUGCCUUGGUAACAUGUCCAGAUGUGACAUAUACCUGAGUGUAAGUAUAGUCUACUUAAUUAUGCUCAACAAACUCAGAGUACAGUAAUUAGCGCUUGCUGCAUUGGCUUCCCAGUCUGUGAGCAGCAGGGACUUUAUCAAGCUUUUUCUGGGUAGUAGUUAAGACUACAAGUGGGCCACGGCAUGGCAGCAAUGUGUUCUUAAGCCACUUGAUCUUUCUGCCUUCUCUCUCCUCGUGUGUGUGUGUGUGUGUGUGUGUGUGUGUGUGUGUGUGUGUGUUUGUCCUAGCAUGUUUAGGUUGCUAUAAUAAAAUUACUGGACUGGGUAAUGUACAGACAAUAGAAUUUCAUUGUUCACACUCCUGCAUAUUUUCAAGUUCAAGGUCAAGACACUAGAUGAAUCAGUGUUCUCCGAGUACGAUGCUUUAUUGCUGUCCAUUCUAUGACAGAAGGGGCAAAAAUGUCCCCUUAGGACUUGAUGAUGUCUUCAGUCCCAUUCAUUGGGCCAAGCCAACUCCCGAAGGCCCCAACUUCUGAUACCAACACAUUGGUCUUACGAAUUUUAAUGCAUGGAUUUAGGAAGGAAAGACGCAGCCCGGCUAUGGCAAUAAUCAGCUUUUACUUUUGAAUGUUAACUUUGUAUUUUCUUGUAUCUAAUGUUAUCAUAUCAUAUGGAGAAAAGGGGACCACUAUGGGGAGAACAAAUUGCUAUAGUAUUACACAAUAAAAAGGACAAUAAGCCCCCUUGUGUUUAUUACUUAUUUUAAAAAUUUUCAUAUUGAGACGGUUAAAUAGGGGUCAGAAGAAGACUUGGUGGUUAAGAGAACGUUCUAUUCUGGGACAGGAUUCUAGUGUGGCUUUCAGCAGUCACGUCAGGCGGCUCGCAACCACCGAGAACUCUUAACUCCAGGGUAAUCUGAUGCCUCUGGCCUCUGGACGUGUGGGCAUGCUCUCUCACACAGACACGCAAGCACCCACAAAUAGCAAAAAUAUUUAAAAAGGAUUAAAUAAACUUUAUUAAAGAAGACACCAAAUGAGAAGGUGUGUAUUUAAUAUUGUAUUAACUAUUUAAUAUGAUUAUAUAAUCUUUUAUAUAAUAUUAAUGCAUAAUAUUAUUAACGAAAGAGACGGACUUCUUUCCAUCUAUGUGGUGAAUGAGUGAAUUGUUUCUCAGGCUGAUAAAAGAGAUGGCAGGUGACUCUACAAAUGUUCUGUGUGCUUCUAUACAGACGGAAGAAGGAAAAUAAUUCAAAUGUGUCUUUCCUCGAAGGUUUUCCUCAAAGGUAGAUAAAUUCCAGAGUCAACGUAAUUUGAACUGAGUUUGGAGUCUUGGGGAUCUUGGUCCAAAUCCCCCUUGUUUAGUAACUGUGUGUCCUUGGACGGGUCAAUUUGUCUAGUCGUCCAUCUGUUUUCUUACAUGGCUAAAGAGCAGUUUCUCUUCUACAGGACGGUUGAGAUGAGUUCAGUACUGUCAACCCCACCCAUUACUCCUUCCGGUUCGGCUUUCCGGAGGGUGACGGUACAGAAGCAAACGGUCUUCUACUUUGCGCCUACUUUUCUCAUCAGUAAGGAUAGAGGACAGCUGCAUUCAACCCUAGACAAGAAGCCGCUCUGGAAGUGGCCUUCCUGUUCCCAUCCACUCUGCAACUCUUUUUCUUCUUGCUGGAACCAAGUUACAGUCUUAAAUGUCCCUCCUGCAACUCGUUCCAAAGCAUUGGCUACAAAAAUAAAGGGCGGUGUCCGUUGCUUCCCCUUCAGCUCUGGGACUUGCUUGCGGCACAAAAACCAUGCCGACAGCAUUGAUGCUCUUUCCUAGGGAGCUUAGAAGGAUUUCCAGGCAGUGGUUUCUUGUUGACUUGAACAUCUGCACUGAGGGUCUGUAUCCCAGCCAGAGGGAUUAAACGAGUGUGUCCUUUUCUACAUGCCAGCCAGAUCACACAGGCCUAGAAGGCCUUCAGAUGUGAUGCUUGCCAGAGCAGCCAUGUUGUUGGGUUUGAGUGAACAUGGAUUCAAGUCAAAGGUGAUUCAGUUGUCUGACCUAGCAGUCACACAGGAAAAAUCAAGUGCACAGAGCCACAGAGACCUUGAGUCAGAGAUGAUGGUUCAGAUACCUACCUUCUUUUCAUGUAAAUGAGGUGCUUGAGUGAAUUACUUGAGUUCCUAAAUUGGCUAAAGGGCUAGGAUCCAAAUUUGAGACACAUGACCUCAUAAUUGAAUCUCAUUUAGUUCUGUUUCCGAUGUUUGCUCAUGAAGACUGUGUCUUUGGGUAUGGAUGGCCCUAGAAAACAGCAGGUUCAAAGCAUCUGUGCAAAUUCUGACUAGAGAUUGGAUAGUGAGGUAGAAAUGUGGCUGGAGAUUCAAACUUCAAAUGGGAUGCUGAAUUACAUGAUCGGCAAGAUAACUUCUGGCCCUAGAUCCUUAGGUUCACUUUUUAUUGUAUCAGUUAAGAGUAUAAUUUCUUAAAUAUGAAAUCCCAGGAAGCAAUUACCAAGUCUGGUGCUCAUUUAAAAUCGGGCAUUUAAGACUUUAAAUAACAUUCAGUUUAAUUAACUUAUGUUUGGUUUCCAUGAGACGUCUUUAGAACUCUGGUUAUGGUCCUAAGUGCUCACAGCAUGAGGUGAAAAAUGAUAAAAUUUAGAAAAGAACCAAUAUUUAAGAUUCUCAAGUUAAAGAACUAAUAGAUGGUGAGACCCCAAAAUUACUUUCUGGUAAAAAAAAAACAACAUUGGUGUAUACCUCUUCCUUCAAAAGCAUCUAUGGGGCAGUUGACUGUUGAAAAGAAUUUCUAAAUAUGAGAUUUCAGAGGCACGCAUCUGUCCAUUUUGAACACAAUGGAUGUUAAAUAGAUUUUUGAGUUGGUGUGUGUGUGUGUGUGUGUGUGUGUGUGUGUGUGUGUGUGUGUGUGUGAUGGGUAUGAAUGUGAGCCCUGGAAACCACAGUGAGUUUCUCUUGUGUCCCAUCUUCCCCCUUGCACAGCUUUAAAUCUAACUCUGCCCAUACUAUUGUCCAGGAAAAACAGGCCAUAUUGUGCCGAUUGCUAUUAAAUUAAAGCAGAAAGAGAGAGACACAAACGUGGAAAUCCAUAUUGCCAGCAGGGAUACCACCAUCUUUUAUUUGGCGUUUUGGGAGGGUCAGAAAGUCAUGACAGGCAUCUGACCCCUGAUAACCUCUUUGAUGUUUCUGUGUGCAGCUUUUUUUUUUCGGGGGGGGGGGUGAACUUAAUUAAAUACAAUUGAAUUUCCCUGCUAACAUGCCCAGUGAAAGGCCUCCUUUGAGAUGGCUGGGUAUUUGCUGGUGAGGAACAAACAAGGAUGCUUCUUUUGUUCCUCAAAGAAAAGUUAGCAUAUGUUAGUUAAGGAUUUGUGAUUUCUUUUGACUAGACUGACUGGUUCCUGGAAAUGCAAUGAUUCUUCUGAAAUGGUAGCCACAUGUCAAAAUGGAAUGCAUGAUCCAUAAAAACCCCCAACCCCCCAAGAAUUCCGCCCAGGCCGUUUAUUGUAAAGUUUCCUGUGUCUAGCCACACUUGAAAAACAAAUGCUCAUCAGCGACUUACAAUGAAGCUGCAGAUAUUUGCCUGUACCAUAAUAUCAUUUGUCCAUUUCUUGGAUUUUCUUGUAGCCACAGGAAGGGAUAUUUGUAGAGCCUUGUUCCUGCUAUUUGAUUGAGUACAACUUUAAGCAGAUGUUGACAAAGAAUAUUCCCUUGUUGCUUUUGCAUAGUUGACCUCGGGUAUCCAAAGUCGAAUAAGCAACCGGUUUCCUGGUAAUGUUUUAAUCAAAAGAAGCAGCAUCUCUAAAUAAUGCCAUUUAAAUAAAGUUUCUAUUCAUAAAAAAAUUCAGAUAAAGUGUUCAUUGUUUUUCUUGAGUUUCUGGAACCAGUGGCUGACAGUUAGCAAAUGAGGAAUCCAUUUAUGAUCUCGAUGCCCACAAAGAGCGAGUGAUUUUGUUCAGCUCAGAGCCUGCCUGUUUAUCUAGAGGGGAAUCAGAUUUACUACUUAGGCUCGGAAUCUUUUAGCUUAGAUGAUUUUUGUCUUCCUUGAAGAGAGAGGAUUAGAAUUGGAAACUGGUGCUUUUGGAUUUAAAGUUGACUAUUGUAAGUGUUAAGCCUCCCUCCUCACCUCCAUGCCCCACCCCUCAUCUUUUCUAGAUCCCUCUGAUUAUUAGGGGGAUAAAAAGUCAGCACUUGACCCAUUGCCCUGUCUGGCUUCUGUCUUAUCUCUUGUUCUCCAUUCAUCGUGGAACUCCUAACUUUGCUACCAUACUGGAAUAGUUUUUAGACACAGCUACUUGUUCUACACUGUGGCAGUCACAUCUGCUGUGUGACGUUGGAAGGUUUUUUUUUUUUCUUUUUUUCGGAGCUGGGGACUGAACCCAGGGCCUUGCGCUUGCUAGGCAAGCGCCCUACCACUGAGCUAAAUCCCCAGCCCCGACAUUGGAAGGUUUUGCUCUACACAAGGAUGCUACUGACCAAACCAAAUCUUGUCAGGGGGCCCUAUGUGCCUAGAGACGGUGCCAGCCUGUUCAUUUUUGAAGUUCAUUUAGAAGUCCAUGAGACUAGUGGUGUCUUUGCCGAAUGCAUUUCUUGGCCUGGUUUCUGCCUGUUUCAAAGUUGAAGCCUUUCAAAGGUAAAGAUGCUUUCAAGACUGAGAAUAACAUUAUAGUUAUUUAAGAGGUCCAAAAAUUCAUUGUCAACAGGAAGUUUGCCCAAGGCUGAUAAAAUAUUAGGUCACUAUGAGACUGGGAUCCUGGGAUUUUUUUUUUUUUUUUUUUUUGGUAUAUUUAAAAUGUCAAAGUACUAGCUUGAGGGAAGGAAAAAAUGGUGGACUGUUUGUAUUGCAAUGCAAUAUCAGCAUCUUCUUUUCUCACAGGCUGCCUCAUGCUCUACAAUCUAGACCUUCUGAAAUACUUCGGCAAGGUAGCAGGGUACCCUGAGAAGAACACAGGCCUUGCAACUAGGUAGACUCACCUUGGAAUCCCGACCUUGGGAUGGAGUGAAAUUCUUUAGGGUUUCAGACUUCUCAUUUCCAAAAUAAAUCUUGAUUAAAAAUAGCAGACACGCAGUGGUGUCUUGGUUGAGAGUUUGGCGAUCCACUCCAGGGACAGAGCUCUUCCUCUCAUCGUCAGCAGCUAACAAAGGAUCAGAAUGUUCUCCAGGAAAGGCUUGGCCACAUCUGUUCUCUGCGACUACCAUUUUGCUUCUUUCUCUGCCACUAAAUCUAUAUUUGCUUCUGUUUCCAGAUUUAGCUCAAUGGAUCUACCCUUCAAGAAGUGGCCCCUGUUUCUUCUUUGCGUUUCUACCUAUGUCUCGGGGAGGAGUUUCUCGGGUACUCCAUCUAUCCUUCCAUUAGGGCUUUUGUCCUGCUGGGCUUGGAGCUUCCAGGGAAGUACUGUGGAGACUGUGUUCCAUUUAGUUUUACUUCUUUGGUGCUGACCACACUACAGUGUGACACAAUCUUGAUUGCAGUAACCAGACAAGUGGUGUUUACUUUUGGCAUGGCUAGACUGUGUCUUUGUGUUUCAUUGUUAGUGGACAUUGCUUAAUUCCUGGUCCAUUAUACUUUCUAGGACUCUCCUCAGAGAGGGAUUUAUCUAUUUCCAAAGCUUCGGUUAUCUUUAAUCUUAACCUUUUUAUUUUACCUUUUCUUUUUUUCUUUUCUUUUUUUUGAGAUGGGGUCUUGCUAAAUAGCCCUGGCUGGUCUCUUAGCAGUUAUCUAUCGCAUACAGGUUACUCUUGGCAAUUCUUCUGUGUUGGCCUCCAAAGCGUUGGAGUUAUAGGCGUAUUCCAUCAUUCCUGCCCUCUCAGAACCUUUUAAAGACAACAGGCAGGGUAAAGAUUGGUGGCUCAGCAAGGUGUUAUAUGGGAAGCACAUUGUCAGGAGGCUUAAUGCAAGAGCAGGGACUCAGGCUCUUUAACCAGUGAGUCCCAGGUGACCUUGACUGUACAUUAAAAUGUAAGAAUUGUGGUAGGUAAUAGCUGCUUCAGGAAGAGCGGAUUCCUUGAAUUUUCUGACGAAUGAAUGUCUUUGGCUAUGAAGGCUCCUGACAAGCUCCCGGGACAGCAGCCGAGGGAAUAAAGUGGUGAUGUUGGCACACCGUUGAGGCGCUGCUUAAGUCAGGAAGCAAUCGGCCAACCAAGACCAUGUCAAAUGAAGCACCCCCUCCUAGGUUAGAGCUAAGUAGACACCCUAGAUUUUAAAAGGGGGUUCAGUUAAUUUGAGAGAUGAGUUUUUGAGCUUAAUGUCUUCAUUUUACGCCUAAAAGUAAACUGGUUUUUCUCUUAUAAUCAAAGUACAGCUUUUAAAAAGAAACAGUGCUCAUCGUGGCAAACACAUCUUUUUGUUCGGUGCAGUUCAAUGACCUAACCAGGGAUUUCAAAAGCUAUCUCCUGGCUUCCGCUUUCCGUUCCAAUCCCAGGGGCAAAGCAAGUAUUUGCUUUUAGCAUUGUUGACACCCAAGCACUUCGCCAAUGUUUCCACAAGGCCAGCUGCCCUUUGUAGAGCCUCCUGGGAACUUUUCUUUUGGUUACUAACCCUCGAGUGCACGCAGAUCUUUAUUUGGGGAGAUAUUUGUCACAGCCCAUCUUUCAAAGGAGGGCGACCCAGACCUUGACUCAAGCUUGAAAAUCUUUGUGUCUUUACUCAGUCCUCUAGGCUCAUCUGAAGAUUUUCUCUUGCAGCCUAUUCAUCUUAUUGCUAACCUAGGAGGGAGCACGCAUGCGCGCACACAGCACGCACGCACACAGCACGCACGCACGGACGCGCGCGCGCGCACGCACCACGCACGCACGCGCUCACGAACGUUGUGUUGCUUCUUAUUCGUCCACUAAAUCUUAAAGGAUUGGAAAAUUUGAAAACAGUGGAAUCCUGCCUGAAAGCUUUAGUGAAGUCUGCAUGUAGCUCUGCAGGGACACGCCUGGUGAUAAAUUUCGUGGCUGGAAUUAAAGGUGUGUGCCGUCACUUCCUGGAAGUAUUCACAUCUGAAAAGAAGUUCUUGACUGUGUUUGUUGACUGCAUCUCUUAGCCACGCACUGUAUUGAAUUCAGCACAUUCAAACAUCCUCUGAAGAUUUAAAAAACGUCAGUGGUGAAACCUGUAUCUGCGGUGGAAUGGCCCCCUGAGCUCCUGCCUGCAGGCUCGUGUUUUCACCGGGCAGGUGGCGAGCAUGUGUGUAAUUGGAGCAAAACCUGUAUCCUGAAGUAUAUGACACCUACUUCCACAGUCACAACACAAGUUUUUAAAAAUCUAAAUUAAAGGAACUGAUCUGGCUUUAUUUUUGGUAACCUGCCUGUUCUCUAGCAUGUGGGUUAUGACUGUAUUUCUUUUCAUUGAACUCGAGCCUCUUGUUUAUCGCUUAUGGGGUAUUUUGCGUUCUCUUAGGUGUUUAAAGAAACACAGGGUGUUAUUAUUGUCGUUGUUGUUGUUGUUGAUAUUUAUUUUGGGUGUUUUGGCGCAAAGCACCUUGCUUUCCGUGGCGACUCUUGUGGCUUUCUCAGUGCACUUGAGUUCGUGCUCAAUGUGUCAUUACUGCAAAAACAAGUUAAUUGCUCUGUAAGUGUCCAGGAUUCCCCUGCUUUAAUUUUGCUCUCAUUUACCAACCUUCAGCACGCACCAACUGCUCGACAACUUCAUCAGAAAAUCAGGUUAAUGACUGACAAUCAGUAUCCUUGCUACUUUAGUGUCUCUCCGCCACCUUCUGCUUGUGGACCACAGUAAUCUUUGUGUUUGAAAAGGGAACUCUAUCUGCGCUGGAAGAUUCAGUAGAAGACUUACUUUAUAAAUAGUUGAUGCUAAAGAGUUGAGAGAUCCUAAUCUACACUGCUUCUUUUCUCGUUAGGUACCUCUGAUGUUGUCGACUUGUAGACAUCAAGUAUAUAUAGUCAUUUGCAUAUCAACCAAACCUCAACAAAUCGUUCUUCUUUUUUAAAGGACAGAAUGUACUUAGUUCUCUGGGGCUGUCGGCUGCCAUGAAGCUUUGUUGUUUGGAAAGUACAAAUCACAGGACUGCUGUGUACACAUGUUCAUGGGCUGCACUGGACACCUUGGAGACGAUUGUGUUCUCAUCACAGUUUCUCUGAAUGAUGCUACUCAGCUGUGCCCCUGACAUGGGCAUAGCUUGAGCAGUGCCACCAAGAAAUCCCCAUUGAAAUCAAUGUCAGGCCAGUGUACGGAGGGUCCUACCCACCCCAGACAAAGGUUACCUAGUUGGGAAACCCCACAUCCAUGAAAACGUGUGGUUGAACGAAUGCAGAGAUUCACUGAGGAGGGAAACUUAUGUGCAUGCUUGGCAUGGGUCUAACUCUUCACCGGAUCGUCUUCCCUUUAAACAGGGGUCUCUCCGUCCUGCACCUAUGAGGUGGUUUUCCCAGGUCAAACAACACAUCCGGAUUUGAAGGCUGCCUAUGUGUCCUGGUGACUCAAUAGAGAGUUACGUAGUCAGCGAUCUCGGGCUGUUCAUUUUGUUGUGCAAUCUGAAAUAACUUCGUCACCCAGCAUGCCAAUGGCCAUAGUUUAGGAUUUCUUCCUGCUCCAUAUUCCAACUCAUUUGGGGAUCCUAGCAGGGACUUCCUGCAUUCUUCAGUCCUGUUUGUUGUACAUUUGUCAUGUACAGAAAUUGAUACCAGGGCUACCAAGUGAAAGAUGUGUUUGCUUGAUUUCAGGAGAUUAUGCUCAUGCCUAUACUUAUGGUAUAUCCGAUAUAAUUAAACAAUAAUAGUUGUAAUUACAUAAAUAUAAUUAUAUGUGAAUAUGAUAUAUUCAUAUAAAAUUUAUUUAUAUAUUUAUAUAUUGUUUAAUAUAAAUUUAUACAAUAAAUAUAAAUACAAAUAUAAAAA
Molecule: long non-coding RNA, 14549 nt
Organism: Rattus norvegicus (Norway rat)
Lineage: Eukaryota; Metazoa; Chordata; Mammalia; Rodentia; Muridae
Source: RefSeq, a predicted model, not a curated record